GUCUAGAGGCUUCGGCAAUGGGGGCAACCCUGACCGAGCGACGCCGCGUGGAGGAUGACGCCCUUCGGGGUGUAAACUCCUUUCGACCGGAAAGAAGGCCCGGACUCGUUCCGGGAUUGACGGUACCGGUGGAAGAAGCCACGGCUAACUCUGUGCCAGCAGCCGCGGUAAGACAGAGGUGGCUAGCGUUAUUCGGAUUUAUUGGGCGUAAAGGGCGCGUAGGCGGCCAGGCACGUCUGGUGUGAAAGCGCUACCGCUUAACGGAGCGACUGCAUUGGAUACGGCUUGGCUUGAGUCCGGGAGAGGUGAGUGGAAUUCCUGGUGUAGCGGUGGAAUGCGUAGAUAUCAGGAAGAACACCAGUGGCGAAGGCGGCUCACUGGCCCGGCACUGACGCUGAGGCGCGAAAGCGUGGGGAGCAAACGGGAUUAGAUACCCUAGUAGUCC
Molecule: ribosomal RNA, 445 nt
Filed under: uncultured bacterium
Lineage: Bacteria
Description: bacterial SSU rRNA
Rfam family: Bacterial small subunit ribosomal RNA
Source: RNAcentral